UACAGAGGUCUCAAGCGUUGUUCGGAUUCAUUGGGCGUAAAGGGUGCGUAGGUGGCGCCGUAAGUGGGGUGUGAAAUUUCGGAGCUUAACUCCGAAACUGCAUUCCAUACUGCGGUGCUUGAGGACUGGAGAGGAGACUGGAAUUCAUGGUGUAGCAGUGAAAUGCGUAGAGAUCAUGAGGAAGACCAGUGGCGAAGGCGGCUAUCUGGACGGUUUCUGACGCUAAGACGCGAAAGCGUGGGGAGCAAACAGG
Molecule: ribosomal RNA, 253 nt
Filed under: uncultured bacterium
Lineage: Bacteria
Description: partial 16S ribosomal RNA
Rfam family: Bacterial small subunit ribosomal RNA
Source: RNAcentral